This 2122-nucleotide long non-coding RNA is filed under the name Homo sapiens (human). RNAcentral's name for it is "HSALNT0296671". Lineage: Eukaryota; Metazoa; Chordata; Mammalia; Primates; Hominidae. The record is from RNAcentral.
AGACACACCAGGCCGCCAUGUUGUGUAAGGUUAGUCUCUCAGCCUCCGCGAGAAGAAGGCGAAAAAUGGGGAGGAGCAGCCUGGUUACUUUCAAACGAGAAAGAACGGAUAUGUUAAGCGUGGAGGGCUCCUAAUGGUAGCGGUUUGAUUUUCAGUGAGUUUGGCGCGGUGGAGACGUCACCGCGGUCUAACAGUUCCGACGUGGUGGCGUCAUCACUGGCCGCCGUAGGAGGUGGAGCUACGUUGGCCUCGUGACCGGGCCCUGUAGCGGAAGCCCAGGUCAAGGCCCUAACAAAAGGGCCCGCCUAUGGCCACAGUUUCAGGCCCUCCUUUCAGUCAUGGACUGUUGAAGCACGAUUUCCUGGUGCUUUCGCCCCUUUCACCGACCAUUUCAAGAGUCCGUAGUUCUCGCCUGGGUUUGGAUUCGGUAUAAGUGAGCCUGUUUACCAUCAAAGAAAAUGGUGAAAUGUCUUCUGGAGACGAUGUUCUCUUCUGGUUCUAACCCUGUCACUCAGUGAGACCCCCAGAGAAGCCUAGUUUUCAGAUUAUUCUAGUCCUUGGCAGGCUCAAGAUGUCAACAACACGGUUGGAAACAACCCCUGAGAGGUCACAUAGCGCGCACUCAGCUUUACAGAUCGUCCAAGGCAGCGACCCCUGAGAGGUCACAUAGCGCGCACUCAGCUUUAUAGAUCGUCCAAGGCAGCAAUUAGAAUCAGCAACUCGGAGAGGAAAAAAAGCUGUUAGCGGAAUGGAGGCUGACCAUUAUCUGUAGUAAAGAAUCGGAAGUACAGUACAAAAAUAAAUUACCGAAACGCAACAUGCGUGAAUUUCACACAAAAAAAUGAAGUUGAGGGAAAGAAGCCAGACAUGGAAGAGUUCAUAUUGCGUGGUUCCAUUUAAAAACUAGCCCAUGGUGUUAAUGAGCAUAGUGGGGAGGACAAUGACAUGAAAGAGCCACCAGGGGGCUUUUGAGGUUCAGGAUCCCCAGCCAGUGAGCCUAAAAUGGGUAGAAGGAAAAGAUAUUUCUUACCCUACGCACCCAGGUCCAAGUCAUCAUUAUUUUGUCUGAAAUUUAUCUUCCUAACUGAUUUCUCUGCUUCCCCAUUGUGCCUUAAGAGUUAGUUUUCCACAGAGCAGCUCGAGAUAUCUUUUCAGAUCAUUAUAUCCCUUUGCUUAAAAACCUCUAACAGCUUCCUAUUAGGCUUAGAAUAAAGUACAAACUCCUUAAUGUGAACUUGAGUGUUUUACGUAUCUUAUCUCACCUUUAUGAGCUUCAUGUCAGAACCCAUCUCUCACCACUCUUCCUUCCCCGCUCCCUGAUUUAAACAGUCUGGCACUUUACUUAUUCAUUGAACCCACUGGGUUUGCUCUUGCCUCCAAGUCUGUACCCAGCUUUCUCUCUACCUGUAAUCCUCUUCCUCUAGGUCAUCACACAGAUCGUUUCUUCACUCUAUUUAGGUCUUUCAGAAGUAACACUAAGGGAGGCUUUUCCAGACAAUAUUAUGCAAAUAUAAAUGGACAUGUGACAAAUACUUUAUUCGACUUAUUAGUUACUGAGAGUGUAUUUGAGUAGCCAGGUAUUUAUAGGCAAUUUAACAAUGUAAUGUUAGUAUAAGGUGGCAAGGUUAGAUAUAAACCUGUUAAUGUCUCACAGGGUAAUAAACUAUAACUUUUGGUGUUAUCUGUUCCACUGGAAAGGAAGUAGGGAUUUGCAUUCUUACUGGACAAAAAUCUACAAGUUAAUGUAUAGAUUCAGUAUAGGACUUUUAAAUCAAUAGUGAACGAUGAAAUGAACAAAGUACAAUCCCCUAGUCCUUGGUUUGACACUGAAAGGACAUGCCACUCACCUUUUUGCCUUGUUUCCAAAGUUUGGAAUAAUUUUCCUUUCAAAAUGAAAUUAUUUCUCAUUCAGUUGUCCUAUUGCAGGCAGCCUUUACUGCUUCCCCCAGUUAAUGUACCUGUCAAGCUUACUCAUGAUUUCCUAACUGCCAAAUUCAAUGGAUAUUUUUAAUUUUUUUUUUGCUAUGACUCAUACUGUUCCCUUCGGGCUUGUCAGCAGAUAAAUGACCUUCUGGGGACUGUGCAAAAUAUGGAAUGCUUAAUGAAUUUGUGUGUUAUUCUU